ACUUAAGAUGUGUAUGUGCAGUAAAUAUGGACGUACAGCAACGUGUAGGAUAUAAGUGGGAGUGCAUGAGAUUUUACUUCCCAUAAUGAACCUUCAAACAUAG
Small nucleolar RNA from Impatiens glandulifera, 103 nucleotides. The record is from RefSeq and is a predicted model, not a curated record. NCBI's taxonomy places the organism in Eukaryota, Viridiplantae, Streptophyta, Magnoliopsida, Ericales, Balsaminaceae.